AGUGAACGCUGGCGGUAGGCCUAACACAUGCAAGUCGAACGGCAGCACAGUAAGAGCUUGCUCUUACGGGUGGCGAGUGGCGGACGGGUGAGGAAUACAUCGGAAUCUACUUUUUCGUGGGGGAUAACGUAGGGAAACUUACGCUAAUACCGCAUACGACCUACGGGUGAAAGCAGGGGAUCUUCGGACCUUGCGCGAUUGAAUGAGCCGAUGUCGGAUUAGCUAGUUGGCGGGGUAAAGGCCCACCAAGGCGACGAUCCGUAGCCGGUCUGAGAGGAUGAUCAGCCACACUGGAACUGAGACACGGUCCAGACUCCUACGGGAGGCAGCAGUGGGGAAUAUUGGACAAUGGGCGCAAGCCUGAUCCAGCCAUACCGCGUGGGUGAAGAGGGCCUUCGGGUUGUAAAGCCCUUUUGUUGGGAAAGAAAAGCAGCAGGUUAAUACCCCGCUGUUCUGACGGUACCCAAAGAAUAAGCACCGGCUAACUUCGUG
Molecule: ribosomal RNA, 492 nt
Filed under: uncultured bacterium
Lineage: Bacteria
Description: partial 16S ribosomal RNA
Rfam family: Bacterial small subunit ribosomal RNA
Source: RNAcentral